This 22-nucleotide microRNA is filed under the name Bos taurus (domestic cattle). RNAcentral's name for it is "bta-miR-12005". Lineage: Eukaryota; Metazoa; Chordata; Mammalia; Artiodactyla; Bovidae. The record is from miRBase by way of RNAcentral.
AUGAAGUCCUUAAGGGGAGGGU